CCACAUUCCCUACCUACCUUUCUCCUCUCAUUAGUCCCUCUAUUCCCUUGGACAAUUUCACUUCUCUUCAUACCAUUCAUAUAUAUGUAUUUGUAUGUAUGUGUGUAUAUAUAUAUACAUAUAUAUACAUAUAUAUAUGAUUUUUAUUUACCUAUAUUGUUAGUGUACAGGCAAUUGUUAGUUGUACAGUGAUUCAGUUGGCCUGCUCUCAGGGACCUAGCAAAGGCUUAGUUAUCACCCGCCCACACUGUCUUUUUUCUAAUAUAUAUUUUUUGUUUGCAUCUUUGUCAAAAGUCCCAUGACUUUGCCUGUGUGGAUUAGUGUUGUGGAUAGCCCUGGGGCUAAUAAUAUUUGAUGUUAAUUCUGUUCUCCUAUGAGGGGUUGUGAACAAGGAAUGAGUCAACACUCAGGUGAUUUCCUGUAAACCUGCUUCCCACCUUAAUUUGUAAAAUAAAGGAGAGCUGAUGAUUGGGCAGAUAAAGGGAAGGUGGAGUGGAAGGUGAGAGAGAAGAAGGAAAAAAUGGAAGAGGGAGAGGAUGCAGAGGAGGAGGAGGAAGAAGAAAAGCAGAACAGAAGCACAUAGCCUGGAAAAACCACAAUUAUAAGGGGUCUCAUAGAUGUGGUAGGUGGUAGUGUAGCAGUAGAUCUGCCCAAUCUAGGUGCACAGUAUGUAUUCAUAUUAACUGAGUUGUGUUUUCACUGCUGGGGUAUAUUUGGGUUGGAGAUUUACUGUAACAGGUUAGUGUCUGGGCCUCUAUUCUAUUUACCUGUGCUUCUUAUUUCGUUCUUGUUGAUGCCAUUACUAUGUCUCCGUAAUAUAAUUUCAAAUCAUGUUGAUGAUACCCCCAGCAUUGCUCUUUGGUCAAGAUUAUUCUUUAGCUAUCUGGAAUCUCUUGUGUCCUCAAGGUGUGUGUGUGUGUGUGCGUGUGUGUGUGUGUGUGUGUGUGUGUGUGUGUGUGUGUGUAUGGUGUGUACAUGUGAAUUCAGUGCCUGUGGAGGACAGAAGGACAGCUGGAAUUACAGUUUGUUGUGGGCUCCCAGGUGUGGUUGCUGGGUUGCAAGCUCCAGUUCUCUAGAAGAGCAGUAUAUGAUCCUAAUUCCUGCACCAGUUCUCCAACACAGCU
RNAcentral lists this long non-coding RNA (1124 nucleotides) under Mus pahari (shrew mouse). Its description in RNAcentral is "lncRNA (MGP_PahariEiJ_G0005011.1)". The record is from RNAcentral. Lineage: Eukaryota; Metazoa; Chordata; Mammalia; Rodentia; Muridae.